UGGGGAAUAUUGGACAAUGGGGAAACCCUGAUCCAGCAAUGCCGCGUGAGUGAAGAAGGCCUUAGGGUUGUAAAGCUCUUUCGCCCGCGAAGAUAAUGACGGUAGCGGGAGAAGAAGCCCCGGCUAACUCCGUGCCAGCAGCCGCGGUAAUACGGAGGGGGCUAGCGUUGUUCGGAAUUACUGGGCGUAAAGCGUACGUAGGCGGAUGCGCAAGUUGGGGGUGAAAUCCCGGGGCUUAACCUCGGAAUUGCCCUCAAAACUGCACGUCUUGAGACCGAGAGAGGUAAGGGGAAUUCCUAGUGGAGAGGUGGAAUUCGUAGAUAUUAGGAAGAACACCAGUGGCGAAGGCGCCUUACUGGCUCGGUACUGACGCUGAGGUACGAAAGCGUGGG
RNAcentral lists this ribosomal RNA (392 nucleotides) under uncultured bacterium. Its description in RNAcentral is "bacterial SSU rRNA". It matches the Rfam family "Bacterial small subunit ribosomal RNA", at positions 355 to 765 of the family's 1533-position model. The record is from RNAcentral.